This 1902-nucleotide long non-coding RNA is filed under the name Heterocephalus glaber (naked mole-rat). RNAcentral describes it as "lncRNA (ENSHGLG00100045139.1)". The record is from RNAcentral. Lineage: Eukaryota; Metazoa; Chordata; Mammalia; Rodentia; Bathyergidae.
GCUGUGCUGGCACUGCUGUGCCAGUCCAGAGCCAGCUCAAGCCCUCCAACGCGGUUGCCUGGUAACCAGCCCUAAGUGACGGAAACCCCAGCGGGCUGCUAAUGAGGGGCAGUGGAGCCAGCCACCUGGCCAGACCCUGGGCUGCUGCCCAGCCCACCCUACCUAGGCUUCAGUGACAGUGUCACCAGCCUGCCCACGCCCAGAGGCCCACUGCCCGGGCAGCCCAGGCCCUUGCAGUCCCGAGGAGAAGCCGAACUGGAAACCAAGGCACUUUAGCACAAGGAGCAAGGGUGAGACUGGAGUCCAGGAUGAAAGGAACAGCAAGCCCCAGAUGAAUGGCAUGUGACCUUGGGAGGUGCUCCUGAAUUAAGAUCCAGAGGAGUUACAGAACCCGAGGUGGCUUGUCCUGGCCAGGCUGGGUCCCACUUGGCUUGGAGAGAUGGGUAAGGGCCACCAGGCACACCUGCACACACACAAUCUGAGAGUCCCAGGCCCCAAGACUGAGGACACUGCCCUCUUCCCCUCCCCGCCCCAACACCAGCAGGGCAGGGGUGGGCACGCCUAGCCUAGCCGGAAGGGCUCAGACUGGAGCUAAGGCUGUCAGCAUAGGGCAUCCCCAAGCUGUCUGUGCAUGGAUACACUUGCCUCACACCAAAGUGUGGCUGCAGGAAGAGCCCCCCUCCCCCGGGCUGGGUGCCAAGCAGUCUAAGAUUUUGUCCCAGCCUGCAAGUGACCUGGGGAGAGAGAGCCCCAACUCUCCCAGUCGCCUCUCAGAUGUUUCCAGCUCCACACUCUCCCCUCUCCGGAGUGACCUCACUUCCUCUUCCCAGUCCCACCUGAGCCCAGCCCCUCCUCCCACUGCUCCGCUCUGAGUCAGGCAGUCUGACCUUCGUUUCAGAGGAGGUGGCCCAGCCAAUCCUGGCCCCUGAACUUGCCCUGACCUUUGCCAUGUCCACCUGCCCUCCCUCUCUCCCUCACCAUAGGCAUCUGUCCCCAGACCUUGGGCAGCCCCAGGACUAUGGGGACGAGAGAAAGGAGAGCACUGGGGGAGGAGUACUCGUUCACAAUCAAGGGACCAGAGUCCCCCAGGCAGGCAGCCUGCUCCUGCACCCCUCUUUUUUUGAAGCAAAAUAUUUAUUGGUACAUUUUAGAUAUACAUAAUGAUAACACUCAUCAUAGGGAAUUUGUACUGUACAUGAAACACCUUGCUUCUUUUUUCCCAUCCGCCCUUCGACCUCUCUUCCCUUCUUUAUUUACAAAAGCCUUUUUUUCCAUUUUUCCUUCUAUUCUUUUUUUUCUCUCGUCCUUUCUUUCCUCUCCCACUCCCCUCUCCCUUGUUCCCCCCUCUCGUUUGAACAUUUUCUUCCCAUUUCCCAAUAUCUAUUAUAAAUUUUGUUCCUUAUUUACACUUCUGGUUUCUCACACCAGAAAAACAAUGCAGUAUUUAAACAUGUGUGUCUGAUUUAUUUCACUUGAGUGUGGUCUCAAGCCCUGCACCCUUCUCCUUGCAAGCACCAUUCUUGGCUGGGGACCUAUCCAGUCUCCCGGGAUACACGGGCAGGAGCUUUUUCUCCUCGCAGGAAAAGUCCAGCAACACCCACCCAGGACACUCAGCAACCCCUCCCCGGAACCCUCCUUCCUGGCCCGAUCCUGGGAUGGGAAGAGCACCUUCCUCAGACAGCGAUAGAGCCCCAAAGAGGGCUGACAUACCCACGUCUGCAAUGCACCCUGCUAGCCUCUCUCCAGCCCCCUAAUACAAGCAGUCCUAGCCAAGACUGCCAGGAACCUAUUAUGUGCCAGGUGUUUAAGACCAUCUUUGGCAAGGGUGGCAACUACACACCACACAAGGUCACAGAGUUACAAAAUGACAAUGGACGCGCAAUCUAGCGCGAGGACCAGGCG